RNAcentral lists this unclassified non-coding RNA (432 nucleotides) under soil metagenome. Its description in RNAcentral is "partial contains 5.8S ribosomal RNA, internal transcribed spacer 2, and large subunit ribosomal RNA". The stretch from base 1 to 120 matches the Rfam family "5.8S ribosomal RNA", at positions 35 to 154 of the family's 154-position model. The record is from RNAcentral.
GAUGAAGAACGCAGCGAAAUGCGAUACGUAAUGUGAAUUGCAGAAUUCAGUGAAUCAUCGAAUCUUUGAACGCAUAUUGCGCUCUCUGGUAUUCCGGAGAGCAUGCUUGUUUGAGUAUCAGUAAACACCUCAACUUCCAUAUCUUUUUUGAAAUGGGAGUUGGACUUGAGUGAUCCCAACGCUUUUCCUCACCGAAAAGUGGCGGGUUACUUGAAAUGCAGGUGCAGCUGGACUUUUCUCUGAGCUAUAAGCAUAUCUAUUUAGUCUGCCUAAAAAACAGAUUAUUACCUUUGCUGCAGCUAACAUAAAGGAGAUUAGUUCUUGUGCUGACUGAUGCAGGAUUCACAAAGACAGGCUUCGGCCGACUUUGUAAACUCGAUCUCAAAUCAAGUAAGACUACCCGCUGAACUUAAGCAUAUCAAAAGCGGAGGA